This 253-nucleotide ribosomal RNA is filed under the name uncultured bacterium. Its description in RNAcentral is "partial 16S ribosomal RNA". It matches the Rfam family "Bacterial small subunit ribosomal RNA", at positions 524 to 776 of the family's 1533-position model. The record is from RNAcentral.
UACGGAGGGUGCAAGCGUUAUCCGGAUUCCCUGGGUUUAAAGGGUGCGUAGGUGGGCAGGUAAGUCAGUGGUGAAAUCUCCGGGCUUAACCCGGAAACUGCCAUUGAUACUAUCGGUCUUGAAUACCGUGGAGGUGAGCGGAAUAUGUCAUGUAGCGGUGAAAUGCUUAGAUAUGACAUAGAACACCGAUUGCGAAGGCAGCUAACUACAGGGAUAUUGACACUGAGGCACGAAAGCGUGGGGAUCAAACAGG